GACGAACGCUGGCGGCGUGCUUAACACAUGCAAGUCGAACGAUGAUGCUGGAGCUUGCUCCGGCGGAUAGUGGCGAACGGGUGAGUAACACGUGAGCAAUCUGCCCUUCACUCUGGGAUAACUGCGGGAAACUGUAGCUAAUACCGGAUAAGAAGCCUUGGGGCAUCCCAGGGCUUGGAAAGAAUUUCGGUGAAGGAUGAGCUCGCGGCCUAUCAGCUAGUUGGUGAGGUAAUGGCUCACCAAGGCGACGACGGGUAGCCGGCCUGAGAGGGUGACCGGCCACACUGGGACUGCGACACGGCCCAGACUCCUACGGGAGGCAGCAGUGGGGAAUAUUGCACAAUGGGCGAAAGCCUGAUGCAGCAACGCCGCGUGAGGGAUGAAGGCCUUCGGGUUGUAAACCUCUUUUAGUAGGGAAGAAGCGCAAGUGACGGUACCUACAGAAAAAGCACCGGCUAACUACGUGCCAGCCGCCGCAGUAA
Molecule: ribosomal RNA, 482 nt
Filed under: uncultured bacterium
Lineage: Bacteria
Description: partial 16S ribosomal RNA
Rfam family: Bacterial small subunit ribosomal RNA
Source: RNAcentral